Molecule: ribosomal RNA, 429 nt
Filed under: Actinomycetes bacterium
Lineage: Bacteria; Bacillati; Actinomycetota; Actinomycetes
Description: Actinobacteria bacterium partial 16S ribosomal RNA
Rfam family: Bacterial small subunit ribosomal RNA
Source: RNAcentral
UAGGGAAUCUUCCGCAAUGGGCGAAAGCUUGACGGAGCAACGCCGCGGGAGUGAUGAAGGUCUUCGGAUCGUAAAACUCUGUUAUUAGGGAAGAACAAAUGUGUAAGUAACUAUGCACGUGUUGACGGUACCUACUCAGAAAGCCACGGCUAACUACGUGCCAGCAGCCGCGGUAAUACGUAGGUGGCAAGCGUUAACCGGAAUUAUUGGGCGUAAAGCGCGCGUAGGCGGUUUUUUAAGUCUGAUGUGAAAGCCCACGGCUCAACCGUGGAGGGUCAUUGGAAACAGGAAAACUUGAGUUCAGAAGAGGAAAGUGGAAUUCCAUGUGUAGCGGUGAAAUGCGCAGAGAUAUGGAGGAACACCAGUGGCGAAGGCGACUUUCUGGUCUGUAACUGACGCUAAUGUGCGAAAGCGUGGGUAUCAAACAGG